Molecule: small nuclear RNA, 336 nt
Filed under: Erinaceus europaeus (western European hedgehog)
Lineage: Eukaryota; Metazoa; Chordata; Mammalia; Eulipotyphla; Erinaceidae
Description: 7SK RNA (ENSEEUG00000021429.1)
Rfam family: 7SK RNA
About the family: 7SK was discovered as an abundant small nuclear RNA in the mid-70s but a possible function has only recently been suggested. Two independent studies have found that 7SK RNA binds the CDK9/cyclin T complex (known as elongation factor P-TEFb).
Source: Rfam by way of RNAcentral
GGAUGUGAGAGCGAUCUGGCUGCGACAUCUGUCACCCCACUGAUCACCAGGGUUGAUUCGGCUGAUCUGGCUGGCUAGGCAGGUGUCCCCUUCCUCCCUCACCACUCCAUGUGUGUCCCUCCCGAAGCUGCGCUCUUGGUCGAAGAGGACGGCCUUCCUCAAAUAGACAGUGGAGGGUAUAUGACAAGUAGCCACGCUCCCCUGCUAGAACCUCCAAACAAGCUCUCAAAUGACUUCAGAAUAUUAAGUCUGAUAUAGCAUAUUGUAGUAAUAAUUGAGUUGAGAAAACAGGCAGUAAGAACAAAAAACAGGAGCCAGGUGGCGGUACACCUGGUU